This 433-nucleotide ribosomal RNA is filed under the name uncultured bacterium. RNAcentral's name for it is "partial 16S ribosomal RNA". It matches the Rfam family "Bacterial small subunit ribosomal RNA", at positions 29 to 507 of the family's 1533-position model. The record is from RNAcentral.
AACGAACGCUGGCGGCAUGCCUAACACAUGCAAGUCGAACGAGACCUUCGGGUCUAGUGGCGCACGGGUGCGUAACGCGUGGGAACCUGCCCUUAGGUUCGGAAUAACUCCCCGAAAGGGGUGCUAAUACCGGAUAAUGUCUUCGGACCAAAGAUUUAUCGCCUUUGGAUGGGCCCGCGUGGGAUUAGCUAGUUGGUAGGGUAAAAGCCUACCAAGGCGACGAUCCAUAGCUGGUCAGAGAGGAUGAUCAGCCACACUGGGACUGGGACACGGCCCAGACUCCUACGGGAGGCAGGAGUGGGGAAUAUUGGACAAUGGGCGAAAGCCUGAUCCAGCAAGGCCGCGUGAGUGAUGAAGGCCUUAGGGUUGUAAAGCUCUUUUACCCGGGAUGAUAAUGACAGUACCGGGAGAAUAAGCUCCGGCUAACUCCGUG